RNAcentral lists this ribosomal RNA (253 nucleotides) under uncultured bacterium. RNAcentral's name for it is "partial 16S ribosomal RNA". It matches the Rfam family "Bacterial small subunit ribosomal RNA", at positions 524 to 776 of the family's 1533-position model. The record is from RNAcentral.
UACAGAGGGGGCAAGCGUUGUUCGGAAUUACUGGGCGUAAAGGGCGCGUAGGCGGCCCGCUAAGUCGAACGUGAAAUCCCCGGGCUCAACCCGGGAACUGCGUCCGAUACUGGUGGGCUUGAAUCCGGGAGAGGGAUGCGGAAUUCCAGGUGUAGCGGUGAAAUUCGUAGAUAUCGAGAGGAACACCGGUGGCGAAGGCGGCCAACUGGACGAAUACUGACGCUGAGACUCGAAAGCGUGGGGAGCAAACAGG